RNAcentral lists this non-coding RNA (24 nucleotides) under Cricetulus griseus (Chinese hamster). The record is from RNAcentral. Lineage: Eukaryota; Metazoa; Chordata; Mammalia; Rodentia; Cricetidae.
AAGUGCCACUAGGCUAGGCUUGCA